This 429-nucleotide ribosomal RNA is filed under the name bacterium. RNAcentral describes it as "partial 16S ribosomal RNA". It matches the Rfam family "Bacterial small subunit ribosomal RNA", at positions 355 to 776 of the family's 1533-position model. The record is from RNAcentral.
UAGGGAAUCUUCCACAAUGGACGCAAGUCUGAUGGAGCAACGCCGCGUGAGUGAAGAAGGUUUUCGGAUCGUAAAGCUCUGUUGUUGGUGAAGAAGGAUAGAGGCAGUAACUGGUCUUUAUUUGACGGUAAUCAACCAGAAAGUCACGGCUAACUACGUGCCAGCAGCCGCGGUAAUACGUAGGUGGCAAGCGUUGUCCGGAUUUAUUGGGCGUAAAGCGAGCGCAGGCGGAAUGAUAAGUCUGAUGUGAAAGCCCACGGCUCAACCGUGGAACUGCAUCGGAAACUGUCAUUCUUGAGUGCAGAAGAGGAGAGUGGAAUUCCAUGUGUAGCGGUGGAAUGCGUAGAUAUAUGGAAGAACACCAGUGGCGAAGGCGGCUCUCUGGUCUGCAACUGACGCUGAGGCUCGAAUGCAUGGGUAGCGAACAGG